Molecule: ribosomal RNA, 406 nt
Filed under: uncultured bacterium
Lineage: Bacteria
Description: partial 16S ribosomal RNA
Rfam family: Bacterial small subunit ribosomal RNA
Source: RNAcentral
AUUUAACGCUGGCGGCAAGCCUAACACAUGCAAGUCGAACGAGUGGCGGACGGGUGAGUCCUGUCUGGGAAACUGCCUGAUGGAGGGGGAUAACUACUGGAAACGGUAUCUAAUACCGCAUACCAUCGGAUGUUCCCAGAUGUGCUUAGCGAGUGGGGGGGGUAAAGGCUCACCUAGGCGACGAUCCCUAGCUGGUCUUAGAGGAUGACCAGCCACACUGGAACUGCGACACGGUCCAGACUCCUACGGGAGGCAGCAGUGGGGAAUAUUGCACAAUGGGCGCAAGCCUGAUGCAGCCAUGCCGCGUGUAUGAAGAAGGCCUUCGGGUUGUAAAGUACUUGCAGCGGGGAGGCGUUACCCGCAGAAGAAGCACCGGCUAACUCCGUGCCAGCAGCCGCGGUAAUAC